GUGAGGAAUAUUGGUCAAUGGGCGGGAGCCUGAACCAGCCAAGUCGCGUGAAGGAAGAAGGAUCUAUGGUUCGUAAACUUCUUUUGCAGGGGAAUAAAGUGCAGGACGUGUCCUGUUUUGUAUGUACCCUGAGAAUAAGGAUCGGCUAACUCCGUGCCAGCAGCCGCGGUAAUACGGAGGAUCCGAGCGUUAUCCGGAUUUAUUGGGUUUAAAGGGUGCGUAGGUGGUUUGAUAAGUCAGCGGUGAAAGUUUGCAGCUUAACUGUAAAAAUGCCGUUGAAACUGUCGGACUUGAGUGUAGAUGAGGUAGGCGGAAUGCGUGGUGUAGCGGUGAAAUGCAUAGAUAUCACGCAGAACUCCGAUUGCGAAGGCAGCUUACUAAGCUACAACUGACACUGAAGCACGAAAGCGUGGGGAUCAAACAGGAUUAGAUACCCCUGUAGUCC
RNAcentral lists this ribosomal RNA (445 nucleotides) under uncultured bacterium. RNAcentral's name for it is "partial 16S ribosomal RNA". It matches the Rfam family "Bacterial small subunit ribosomal RNA", at positions 354 to 796 of the family's 1533-position model. The record is from RNAcentral.